GAUGAACGCUGGCGGCGCGCCUAACACAUGCAAGUCGAACGAUUAAAGCACCUUCGGGUGUGUAUAAAGUGGCGAACGGCUGAGUAACACGUGGGCAACCUGCCCCUCUCAUUGGGAUAGCCACGGGAAACCGUGGAUAAUACCGAAUACUUCGGGACUUCCGCAUGGAAGACUCGAGAAAGCUCCGGCGGAGAGGGAUGGGCCCGCGGCCUGUUAGCUUGUUGGUGGGGUAAUGGCCUACCAAGGCAAUGAUGGGUAGCUGGGUUGAGAGACCGACCAGCCAGAUUGGGACUGAGACACGGCGCAGACUCCUACGGGAGGCAGCAGGGGGGAAUCUUGCACAAUGGGCGAAAGCCUGAUGCAGCGACGCCGCGUGCGGGAUGAAGGCCUUCGGGUUGUAAACCGCUUUCAGCAGGGACGAGGCGAAAGUGACGGUACCUGCAGAAGAAGCCCCGGCUAACUACGUG
This 467-nucleotide ribosomal RNA is filed under the name uncultured bacterium. RNAcentral describes it as "partial 16S ribosomal RNA". It matches the Rfam family "Bacterial small subunit ribosomal RNA", at positions 28 to 507 of the family's 1533-position model. The record is from RNAcentral.